Molecule: ribosomal RNA, 425 nt
Filed under: uncultured bacterium
Lineage: Bacteria
Description: bacterial SSU rRNA
Rfam family: Bacterial small subunit ribosomal RNA
Source: RNAcentral
UGGGGAAUUGUUCACAAUGGGCGCAAGCCUGAUGACGCAACGCCGCGUGGGGGAUGAAGGUCUUCGGAUUGUAAACCCCUGUCGAAUGGGACGAAUGGCCUCUGGGCUAAUCACCGGAGGAAUGACGGUACCGUUAAAGGAAGCCACGGCUAACUCUGUGCCAGCAGCCGCGGUAAUACAGAGGUGGCAAGCGUUGUUCGGAAUUACUGGGCGUAAAGGGCGCGUAGGCGGCCAUCUAAGUCAGACGUGAAAUCCCCCGGCUUAACCUGGGAACUGCGUCUGAUACUGGACGGCUUGAGUAUGGGAGAGGGAUGUAGAAUUCCAGGUGUAGCGGUGAAAUGCGUAGAUAUCUGGAGGAAUACCAGUGGCGAAGGCGACUGACUGGACAUGUAUUGACGCUGAGGUGCGAAAGCGUGGGGAGCAAA